Molecule: non-coding RNA, 97 nt
Organism: Acanthosepion pharaonis
Lineage: Eukaryota; Metazoa; Mollusca; Cephalopoda; Sepiida; Sepiidae
Source: the annotation of a GenBank genome assembly
UCAAAACACCAGUUCUUGUACGAUCAUCAGAGUUAAGCAUAGUUGAGCCUGGUCAGUACCUAGAUGGGUGACCACUUGGGAAGACUGGGUGCUGUAC